UCUCCGUAGGUGAACCUGCGGAGGGAUCAUUACUGAGUGAGGGCUCACGCCCGACCUCCAACCCUGUGUGAACACAUCUUGUUGCUUCGGGGGCGACCCUGCCGCUUCGGCGGUGCGGCGCCCCCGGAGGCCUUCAAACACUGCAUCUUUGCGUCGGAGUUUAAGUAAAUUAAACAAAACUUUCAACAACGGAUCUCUAGGUUCUGGAAUCGAUGAAGAACGCAGC
RNAcentral lists this unclassified non-coding RNA (226 nucleotides) under uncultured fungus. RNAcentral's name for it is "sequence contains ITS1, 5.8S rRNA gene". The stretch from base 178 to 226 matches the Rfam family "5.8S ribosomal RNA", at positions 1 to 49 of the family's 154-position model. The record is from RNAcentral. Lineage: Eukaryota; Fungi.